CUGGUUCUCUAGGGAGCAUGUGCACGCCUUGUCAUCUUUAUAUCUCCACCUGUGCACUUUUUGUAGGCCUUUCAGGUCUAUGUUGCUUCAUUUACCCCAAUGUAUGUCAAUAGAAUGUUGUGCCUAUUUAAUAUAUACAACUUUCAGCAACGGAUCUCUUGGCUCUCGCAUCGAUGAAGAACGCAGCGAAAUGCGAUAAGUAAUGUGAAUUGCAGAAUUCAGUGAAUCAUCGAAUCUUUGAACGCACCUUGCGCUCCUUGGUAUUCCGAGGAGCAUGCCUGUUUGAGUGUCAUUAAUAUAUCAAUCAACCUUCUCUUUUUGAGUGGUUUGGAUGUGGGGGUUUGCUGGCCUUGUAAAGGGUUCAGCUCCCCUGAAAUGCAUUAGCAGAACAACCCUGUUCAUUGGUGUGAUAACUAUCUACGCUAUUGAAUGUAAGGGGCAGUUCAGCU
This 449-nucleotide ribosomal RNA is filed under the name uncultured Cortinarius. RNAcentral's name for it is "eukaryotic LSU rRNA". The stretch from base 139 to 292 matches the Rfam family "5.8S ribosomal RNA". Lineage: Eukaryota; Fungi; Basidiomycota; Agaricomycetes; Agaricales; Cortinariaceae. The record is from RNAcentral.